AGGAACUUAGGUUAAACACCAAACCAGGGGUCUUCAAAACCCCAAAUAUGAUAUUAACAUAGCUCCUG
This 68-nucleotide transfer RNA is filed under the name Gonatodes caudiscutatus (shieldhead gecko). Its description in RNAcentral is "tRNA-Trp". The record is from RNAcentral. Lineage: Eukaryota; Metazoa; Chordata; Lepidosauria; Squamata; Sphaerodactylidae.